Molecule: ribosomal RNA, 359 nt
Filed under: Zoogloea sp.
Lineage: Bacteria; Pseudomonadati; Pseudomonadota; Betaproteobacteria; Rhodocyclales; Zoogloeaceae
Description: bacterial SSU rRNA
Rfam family: Bacterial small subunit ribosomal RNA
Source: RNAcentral
GAACUUAAGAGUUUGAUCCUGGCUCAGAUUGAACGCUGGCGGCAUGCUUUACACAUGCAAGUCGAACGGUAACAGGGAGCUUGCUCCGCUGACGAGUGGCGAACGGGUGAGUAAUGCAUCGGAACGUGCCUAUUUGUGGGGGAUAACGUAGCGAAAGUUACGCUAAUACCGCAUACGCCCUGAGGGGGAAAGCGGGGGAUUCGUAAGAACCUCGCGCAAUUAGAGCGGCCGAUGUCGGAUUAGCUAGUUGGUGGGGUAAAGGCUCACCAAGGCGACGAUCCGUAGCGGGUCUGAGAGGAUGAUCCGCCACACUGGGACUGAGACACGGCCCAGACUCCUACGGGAGGCAGCAGUGGGGA